Long non-coding RNA from Eriocheir sinensis (Chinese mitten crab), 2008 nucleotides. RefSeq lists it as uncharacterized. Lineage: Eukaryota; Metazoa; Arthropoda; Malacostraca; Decapoda; Varunidae. The transcript has 2 exons. The record is from RefSeq and is a predicted model, not a curated record.
AGUCACUGCGAGGAUACAUAUUAAGUUUAAAGGUAAAUCUGAAGACCAGAUACUUCAUCCAUUUUCUUUUAAUUUCCUUUCCCAUCCCAUACAAACUUGGGGACCUGCUGUUGAAGCCAUAACCAGUGUUAGUUAACCUGGUAGCAGUGACAGGCCAAAUUUGUGCCAUGAUAUAAACCCCAAAAAAUAGAUGAUACAUAAUCUGAUCACAUAUGCUUUGAUAUAUAUUAUGAAAUGGUUUGUGUGAGGGGUGAUUUUUUCUCAUUUUUCUCACUUGGAGGGACCAUUAAGAAACAUGAUCCCCGCUGCUACCGGGUUAACGCUCCCCCACCCAGCCUGGAGGGUAAAAAUAUGAGAGAAAAAACUUAAAUGUGUUAGAUGGAUGCGUGAGAGUUGAAUUUAACUGGGGAGGGAGGGACUCUAGGUUAACGUCCUGUACAUGGCUUAAACUACCACAUACAGCUGGCAUGAAAUCUCUGGUGAGGAUUCCUAAAGAUAGGGCUGCGGACUAAGGGCCAGUUCGACAGACCAACACAGAGUCCUUGCAAGCGCCCCAACCAAACUAUAUUCUCCACAAUGAUCCAUUUUUUCUACUCAAUACUAGAUACUAUAGAGAUUUCCUGUGUGGUAAUUUAGUAAUAGUUGUUGUAGUUGUGGGAGGUAAUUUAGUAAUAGUUGUUGUAGUUGUGGCAGGUAAUUUAGCUCAAAUCAUGCGCAUCAAUAACAUAUGAGUAUACGUCACUGGAAUAGAUUAUUGUCAUGACACAGCUUAAAACCUUAAGUUUAUCUGCUGCUUUAGGAAGAAAGGGUUAAAUAAUGCACAGUUUUAAUCAAAAAGUUUAUUAAUGUAAUCUAAGUAUUGGCACCUAUGCAAGAUCACAAUGAACCAUUUGGCAGUUUGCAGCAGUGAGGGGCCGAGGGGCAAGCCACCUUUCCCCUUUACCUGUUUUUAAAUGUCUUUGGUUGAAUCUGUAGAGAGAGAAAGGCCUUGCCCCCCAGCCUCGGCCAGCCUGCAGAUUACUGUUACGUUGUUACAUUGUCACUCAAUAUGAAUGUGUUAAAUGUACAGUGAUAAAAUUCAUGUAAAAUUUCUUUGCACAGCUGUAACAAAAUUUUGAAGUCACCUGCAGUGUUGGGAGCCAAAAGUAUUAUUCAGCUUUUUAAAUAAUCUAAAAGUCCUUUGACCUGCCUGAUGUACACGGUACAUUCUGUGGGUCAUGUCAGCCAUCCAAAAAUAAUUUAUAAUUCUGAAGGUUGGUCACAUUAGUCUGUUUUAAAUUUUAUAGAUUUAAGUGAUAUCUACAAGACUUAAAGGUCUACACAUAAAGGAGAGAAUUAUGAAAGUGACAUUCAUCCUCAAGAAGAUAUAGUAUACACUAGCAUCCUUAAAACUUGUAAAAAUAUUUGAAUUUUGCAACUUAAUUCCUAUGAAGUGUUAAAAUCAAACCUACUUAUUGUAAUAACUUUUGACAUUUUUUCCAAACUAUUAAGACUAUACAAAACCGAAGCCCGUUCAGACGUCAUCUUUUCUGCCGUAAUUAAACGCUACUCUCAAAAGAUCAAUCAUGAAACACACACAGAGGCAGCCGUGUCCCCAAGUAGUGAAGUGAGUAUUGUGAGGCACUGCUCUGACGCUUGUAUGCAAAGCCACUGAAAGACUGGGAAAGGUUGGCAGUGUUGGCACAUCACAGCCUCAUGGCAGAACCUGAUUUGGCAUAUUGAUUUUUGACCUGCAAAAAAAAAAAAAAAAAAAAAUGUAACCUUAAGCCUUAAACAACACAACUUCUCAACCAAAGAACUCUGGUAAGAUUCGUCAAUUCCCUUGUAGCAACAGGAGACCUCCAAUAAUUUUCAGCAUUACAAGUCAUCAUGGUACACUGAACUUCCUAUGAUAUGACUGGGAAAAAAUGCAUCACCUACAGAGCCAGUAGAGGCGACCCCCACUCGGUGAAACAUAAUAUAACAUGGGUUGAAUAGUUUAGUUCCCAAACCCCGAUUUUUCCCUCAU